RNA transcript from Aedes albopictus (Asian tiger mosquito), 14319 nucleotides. RefSeq lists it as uncharacterized. NCBI's taxonomy places the organism in Eukaryota, Metazoa, Arthropoda, Insecta, Diptera, Culicidae. The record is from RefSeq and is a predicted model, not a curated record. The transcript is spliced from 2 exons.
CAUUCAACGGUUCUAAAAAGCGGUGCUCUAGAAAUUUUGAGCUAUGUACUCCAAAUACCUUGUCCUUAACUUAAUCAUAAUUAAUUUUAAUUGGCUUUUUUCGGUGAUAUGAAUACUACUCGAAGUAAGAGGGAGUAAGGAAAGUAAUAAAAGAAUACGGUGGAUAGAUACGCAAGCGAGCGAUAAGAGAAAUUGAAAUUAACAGAUGGCCAUUGUUGACCAACACAAUCACAACGACGAUCUUCUUGCCAUGCGUUCUCGAGUUGAACGGCUAGGUAAUAGUAGUUAGAUGAAGGCUAAAAUAUAAACGACUCAUAAGAAAGUGAUCAUUCGUCAUAAAUAAUUCCAAAAGUCCCAGUGAAGAAACAGGGGUGUAAUCAGUAAUAAAUAACAAAAGUUCCAUAAACAAAUAGAAAAACGCAUAAAUAAAUCAAAAGUUUCCAUAAAUAAAUGAUUUUUGAGCAAUUAAAAACGUCAAAAAUGCAAUGAAUAAUUCAACUGUUGCAAUAAAAAAAGCCAAUUUUCCCACCAAAAAGCUUCGAAUUUUCCAUAAAUAAAUUCGAUUUUUCCAUAAUAAAUUUAAAAAAAUCACAAUAAAAAAAUAUCAAAAAAGCAAUAAAUAAUUCAAAAAGUGCAAUAACAAAAAAAUAAAUUAUCAAUAAAUAUCAAAAAACGAGCAAUAAACGUAAAUGCAUUUUGAGCCAAAAAUUAUAUAGACCAUGCGGCGAUGCCGCAUAGAGGAUUGAGGAGCUGAGGCGGCAGAAGGCUGCCGAAGUUUCCGAUAUCCGAUGCACCGCAACUGCAUCGAUUCGGUUCUAGGCAAACCACAGAUUCAAGAAUUUGCCCGGUAUAAUGCAAACAUAGAUGAUAUCCCUUUUUUAGGUCCGACGAGCGAUAGCGAGUUCGGACAGCAAGCAAUUGCUCGGUAAAUUGCAAUCAUAGCACUAUGGGCCAGAAAUCAAAAUUUCGCGACAAAAUUCAAAAAAGUUGUUUUUUUUUUAGAUAAAUCUAUUUUUAUAUAUGUAUGAUUGUUUGGGCUAUGUUUGAUUAUAUGCCGACUGAUUUUUUUUUAUUUGUAACAAAAUUGUAUCGUUUUUUGUAUGGAGAAACUUCUUGUAAGCGAAAAUUCUCAAUUAUAACCAAUAUUAAGAAAAAUGUAAUUUGUGGUGAACAAUGUGCCCAACAAAUACAACGCCUACAUUUCCCAACAGCGGGUCUCCAGUUAGCUUAGUGGUUGGGGCUAUGGAUCGCCAAUCUGGAAUCAGCGGGUUUGAUACCCGGUUCCGGCCGGGAAAAAUUUCUCGACUCCCUGGGCAUAGUGUAUCAUUGUACUUGCCUCACAAUAUACAAAUUCAUGCAAUGGCAGGCAAAGAAAGCCCUUCAAUUUAUAACUGUGGAAGUGCUCAAAGAACACUAAGUUGGAGCGAGGAAGGCCAAGUCCCAGUGGGGAUGUCGAGCCAUGAAGAAAAAGAUAAAGAUUUCCAGUAAAUUUAGUAUAUUUUGCAUAUUUGAUGCACAAAUUGCGAUAUCUUUAAGUUUAAAGUUUUACAAUAUUUACUCAAAUUUUAUGGUUUAUUUGCCAAUUUGUUCAAAAUGUAGUAGUAUUCGACCGUGUUCGACAUGCAACUGGUCUAGGAAGCUAGUUGACACUCUUCUUUUUCGGAUGCUAUCGGUCUUUUUUUGCGGGAAUUUGCGGGGAACCAAGAUAGAGUGAUUUUAGUGCAUGCGUUAAUUUUACAAAACUAUGUUUUACGCUGUGCUUCAAUAACCAUCAACACUAAGAUCCAUUUUUGCCAUUACGACGCAAUCUCUUUAUGGCUUGCGAAACAAUAUGCAACAAAGGUUUCGUUUCAGGUAAGACUGUGAUUGUAGGUGUUUAAAUCAAUACCACACACUUACUCAAAGUGCAAAGUUUCGGUACAUCAAUUGACCACACGAAUUCAUGAUUUUUAAUAAGCUCAAUUUAUGUAUACAGGGAUAAGUUUUCGAUGAAAAAAUCCGCUGCUCAGGUGUUUCAGAUGUCCGGCAUUUGGCCUAAUGUCGCUUGGCCGAAUUAUGUUCAAAAUAGUUCAGAGACCCCUUUUCACAUUCUAGCUUCCAAUUUGAUCAUCAUUAAUUGUUCCUGUUGCGACGCCGCACAUUUUGAACCGGUCUAAAAUAUGAACCCGUCUAACCACAACAUAACUGCAGCAUGACAGUUCUCGCGCGGUAGUAGUGGUAGGUGAAAUAAGAGGGAAAGUAGAUGAAUGAGGUGCAAGUAGAAUUCGAUAAAAACAACGGAAUUUCGCCAUCGUAAAAGUAGGAAAAGAAAAUCAGUUUAGAGUUAUUAAAGUUAUUUAAAAUUUAUUUCGGUAACCAAAUUACACUAAUUGGUGCUUCCGUAAGUUGUGGGAGUGCGGUGUAAACUGAUAUACAAAGUCCGUAAGUUGAAACCUGUAGAGAAAAAAGGUAAAUUAUUAGUGAAACUUAGCAAAUACUUACCUGGAUUUCUCCCACUAGCUGUGCAAAUACCGGUGCUUGGUACGCCCCGAAACAGGGGAAAAUAACCAGAAAAGCUGCCGUGCCAGUGGAUUAUAUCGUAAGUAGACGCAAGAAUAGAAGUUUUCUUAUGUGUAAUGUAUAAUUGAAAAUAUUUGUGAUUACAAAAAUAGCAUCCGCGCAACAUACCGAUUAGGGUAACGGCCCCAAUUAUAGUCCAACCAGAGAAUUGAGAAAAGAAGUCGUGGCAAGGAAACCAUUUAAUUGUAAGUUGUUAGUAAUUUUAGUCUGUGUUGUGAAUUGUGUUUAUUGAAUUUGUUAAUAAAUUUCAGUUUAAGCGUUGCUACAAAAAACUUGAGCCGCUCUAAAAACCUGGCUUCCCUCUCGGGAACAUUCUUAAAAAUUAAAUGACACCCGCGAAGUAACUUCUGCGAAGUAAUAGUGUCAAGUGAGAAGUUCGGACCUGCCAAAAGAUGACUUCCGAUGCUGAGUCCACCCACGACCAAACCGUCAUGGAUCUGACGGCAUCUCAGUGUACAAUUCGUGGACUAUCUACGAGCGACGAGGUGAUGGUCUGCUGUGACGGAUGUUCUAAAUGGUUCCAUACAUGUUGCGUGGACAUCGAUGAGGACAAUCUGCCGAAGAAGUGGUACUGCCAAAGCAAGGCCUGCCAGGAGAAGGCCCAGGAGUACCGGCAGAAGCAGAAGGACACCAAGAAGCAGUUUCGCACCCGGAAACACGGCAACGAGUCGGACAAACCCAGCGUCAGCUCUUGUCUAGCUGCGUCUAGCUUGGAAGCAAAGCGCCGAGCGCUAGAAGAGAAGCAUAAGCGGCAGUAUGAAGAGCUGGAGGUGGAGAUGCAGCUGCGGAAGAAGGAAAGGGAGAUGCAGCGUGCGUUCGAGCAGCGAAAGACGGAGUUGGAGCUGCAGAUGCGCGCUGAAGAAGAAGAAGAACAAAGAGCAUGGCAAGCGGAGAUGCUCCAAAAGAAGAAGGAGCAGAUUCAGUGGCUGAAGGCGAACCGGGAGUCGUCGUUCGAGAUGCAAAUGGCGGCGAUGGAUGAGGAGUUAGCGGAACUUUCGGGUCAAAAGUCGAAGCCGGCGCCGGAAGUAGUCAAGGACGUUUCGCGAGCGGGUCCUUCCGGCAAAGUCAACCCAAACGUGUUGAAGCUGAGAAAGGCGAACGUGAAGAAGCUAACACGAGACUACGAGAGCACCGACGAAGAAGACGAGGACGACGAUCCGUCAACCCAGAGUUCGCAUUCGUCCAUGAAAACGAGGGUGAGGGAUAGGGCUCUGAGGAAGACGUGCCAGAAAGUGGGAAGUGCCAGCCAAAACUGGCUGGGGAAGCAGCAGACCGGGCCGACGAAGGCCCAGCUGACCGCGAGGAUGGGGUUAACCUACAAACUCCCAAAAUUCUCCGGCAAACCAGCACAGUGGCCAUUGUUCUACGCGGCCUACAAAACGUCCAAUGAUGUCUGCGGCUACAUGAACCACGAAAACCUGAUGCGACUGCAGGAAGCGCUGGAAGGCGAUGCCCUCGAACUGGUAUCUGGGCAGUUACUACUUCCCGAAACCAUCCCGCAGGUCAUCGAGAAGCUGCGCCGGCACUUCGGCCGCCCGGAACAAUUGCUUCAAUGCCUGCUGGACAAGGUGAACCAGCUGGAACCCCCGAGGCCGGACAAUCUGAGGAGUUUUGUUCCAUUCGGAAACACGGUGGAGCAACUCUGCGGCCAUCUGGAGGCAGCGGAUCUACGGCAACACCUCGUCAACCCGCUGCUGAUAAAGUCGCUGGUUGCUAAGCUGCCGGAUCGGGAAAAGCGUGAGUGGGUCCAUUACCGGCGAGGUCGAGGGGAAACAACCUUGAGGACGCUGACGGAUUUCCUUAUGGACAUCGUGGCAGACGCCUGUGAAGCUAAUGUUGACGUGGAGUUCAAUCCAUCGCCGUCGUCUGAAUCAGAUUCCCAGCCCGAAGAGGAGAGUUCGAAUGAGGCUGGGCUAUACUGUCACUGCGAAGCCAGCAGUUCGACCUACAACACAAGUGAAGAGAGUAAGCUGAAACCGUGCAAGAUGUGCCAAUCCAAGGAUCAUCGUCUGCAGCACUGCGCGGAUUUCAAGAAGUUGCGGUACGAUGAGCGUUUGAAGCUGGUGACGCUCGAGAAGUUAUGCCAUGUCUGCCUCAACGAGCACGACGGGCAGUGCAAAUUGAAAAUCCGCUGCAACAUCGGCGACUGCAGAGAGUUCCACAACUCGCUCAUGCAUCCGGUCGGAAACACGGUCGGGCUGAGUGCACCCAUAAGGACAAACUGCACGGUCUUGUUCCGGAUCGUUCCGGUACAGCUGCACUGCGGAGGCAGAACAGUUUCGGUGUUAGCGUUCCUGGACGAAGGAGCUUCCGUCACGCUGGUGGAAAAAAAGCUCGCCGACCGUCUGGGCGCGGUCGGAGUACAAGAGCGAUUGACCAUCCGGUGGACGGGAAACACGUCGAGAGUGGAGGAUUGCCGAAGAAUGAGUCUGUGGGCUUCGGGAACAGGCGCUGCAGCCGGCGGCAAGAUGCUGUUGCACACAGUGCACACGGUGGACAAACUGAUGCUGCCACAUCAAAGGUUGGAUUCUGAGGAGUUUGCAGCACAGUACGAGCACAUGCGAGGACUGCCCAUUGAAUCGUACGACGGACAGCCGCAGUUGCUGAUUGGGGUAAACAAUAUCCACGCGUUUGCACCGAUGGAGGCAAAGGUGGGUACGCCAGUGGAACCGAUUGCUGUUCGAACCAAACUAGGAUGGACGGUCUAUGGGCCGCGACAGCAAACCCCAGCGGCGGCCGACAACUAUCUCGGUUACCACCGGCAGGUAACAAACGAGGAUCUGCCGCCCGAGAGUCAUUAUGCGUCGAAAGAAUCGGUGGUGACAAUUUCACGGGGCACCGUGGAGAAGAAAUGGGCCCAGCGAAUAAGAGAGCGAACCGCCCAACUCGUCGGCAAUCGCUGCGAAGACGAAUCGCUGUCGAAGACCCGGAGACAAGAAAUUAAAACGUGUCGUCAUCCGGACAGCUCCGAAAAAAUCGCCACGAACAUGGCGGUUCUCAUCCCGAACGCAAGAAGACAGGCUGAACAACAAAAUAGGCGGGUUCGAAAUCCGAAACGGGAUGAUCAACUCGCUGGAAGCCUUGCGGAGCCUAGAAGAGGCGAAACCGACGACACCGACGCAUUUGAUGGCGAAGGAGAGAGUCCUGGGAGCGGUCAGGGAUCCAAGUGGGGAUCGGCGUUUUCGACUCGCUUUUCGACGAGGCACCGCGGCGAGUUGUUGCCGCAGUUGUACGAGGAAAAGUGGCCGUCGAGAAAGCUCGUCGCAAGUGGCGCAAAACCGGAGGAAGUCAAGAACGGUCGGCGAAAGGAGAAGCUUGGGGUGAUGCGUGCGCUCGAUGAGGGGCGCAAGUUGUUGGGCAAGAUCCUACCAACGACACUAGCGGAAACGGCUGGCAAUGGUUCGACGAUUCUUCGUGGUCGACGGGAAAUCCCGACAGUCUUGCAGAUGAAGCUUCAUCGCUGCGGUCAUCAAGGUCUCAGAAGGACGAGCUCGACAGACAAACGUGAGGACGAAGAUGGUAAGGCGCAGAGACGGGACUUGGUAAAGCUUGCGUCGUUAAGAGGUAAUGUAAAUCCGAAAAUGCCGGAUGUUACGGGCUGGGGUGUUGCGACGCCGCACAUUUUGAACCGGUCUAAAAUAUGAACCCGUCUAACCACAACAUAACUGCAGCAUGACAGUUCUCGCGCGGUAGUAGUGGUAGGUGAAAUAAGAGGGAAAGUAGAUGAAUGAGGUGCAAGUAGAAUUCGAUAAAAACAACGGAAUUUCGCCAUCGUAAAAGUAGGAAAAGAAAAUCAGUUUAGAGUUAUUAAAGUUAUUUAAAAUUUAUUUCGGUAACCAAAUUACACUAAUUGGUGCUUCCGUAAGUUGUGGGAGUGCGGUGUAAACUGAUAUACAAAGUCCGUAAGUUGAAACCUGUAGAGAAAAAAGGUAAAUUAUUAGUGAAACUUAGCAAAUACUUACCUGGAUUUCUCCCACUAGCUGUGCAAAUACCGGUGCUUGGUACGCCCCGAAACAGGGGAAAAUAACCAGAAAAGCUGCCGUGCCAGUGGAUUAUAUCCAUCCGCGCAACAUACCGAUUAGGGUAACGGCCCCAAUUAUAGUCCAACCAGAGAAUUGAGAAAAGAAGUCGUGGCAAGGAAACCAUUUAAUUGUAAAAGUAAUUCGAAAGAGCUGUCACUUUAAUCCGACAAUUACACCGACGUUAACCAAUAGCGAGCGCAUCUUUUUGAACUCCGUCUGUUUUCAAAAGCGAACCCCACUGUCUGAUGAAAUCAUUAAAAACAUUUGUUUUUUGAAGUCGUAUUUUCAGAGAACGCAUUCAAAUUGAUAAGACCAGUUACUUGAUUUGAACCAUAGAUUUUUUUUUACUGCUGAAUAAACAUAUUCCUUACCACAAAAUUGCGUUUUUAAGCAUUUUGAAAUUUUCCCGGGAUCCCGGGAUUUCCCGGGACAAGCAACAAAUUUUAUCCCGAAUCCCGGGACAAGCAAAUCGGUCGGGAAAUGGAACCUCUAUUUGCAACCAAUUCAAUAAUUUCUGACAAAAAUUUUCGAUUUUUAAGAAAUACAUUUUGGAAAAAGUAUACAAACUUCUAAUGAAAUACAUGCAGAUGUUUCUGGUAUUUCCAUUCGUUAAACCCUCCAAAGCGGUUUCGUUAUUGCAUAUCUGAAUGAAUUUCUAGCAUAAGCCUUGCUUGAACUUCUUAGUUUACGUAGUAGUUUCUGAACAAUUUUACGCCAAUUAUCCUUGUGAAUUAAAAAUUAGCUUGUUAUUCACCAAAAUGAACCAAAUUUCCAAACUUAAAUGAAUCCAAAUUCACAAAUAAAAUGCUGGUGAAAUGUCUGAUUUUUUUUUCUCGAGGACUACUUUCAGAAAAUGGUAUUAUUUUCCAGUAGCAAUUCCAGAGCAUUUUCGUUUGAGACGAAUUUACAAGAAGUUCUAUUUACAAGAAAGAUUCCUGUAGAAAUCUUAGAGAAGGAAGUUUUCCAAAAAGAUUAACAACGGUAUUGAAUAGAGUGGUGGGCUAAAACGUGUAUGUGUUUCAAUUUUGAUUUUGUUUGUUUUAUUUAAAUAUAUAUUUUUUACCGUUUAGAAUCGCUUUCCUGGUGAAGAAUUGGGUGCCCUGCCCAUACUGCAGCUUUGAUCAUUUUAUGAAAUAAUGUGUUAAAGGAAUCACAGCACUUUUGAUUCAUUAUCUUAAAAAGUCCCCCGCAAAACUUUUGGCAAUAUCUAAGACGUGCCUCAAGAAAAUAUUAAUGAAACUUAAAUAAUAUAUAGUAAUAUCAACAAUUAAAAAAACCUUAGUGUUUUCGUUGAUAAACUGUUAUGAACUGUUUUCACAGAAUAUGUCAGAAAUUCGUACAUGUGCUCACCGAAAUUGAAUUCACCAUAUAUUUGGCAAUUUUCAGUACACUUUUUGUUUUAACAUUUACGUGGUCAGAGUAAAAUUUGAAUUGCGUCAGAGUAAAAAUUUCUAAAUUUCCUUUUGGUGAUAGGUAUCGCAAGGAAUUUCAAAAUCUAGAAUCCUCAUUUAAAUUUUUUUAAAGUCCUUCUUCAAAAGCUUUUAAAAUCUUCAGCACUAGUUGUAACCAGUUUUGGGAAAAAAAAAUAAUACUCCUAGAUUAAGAAAGGCUGACACAAAACAUACCUUUUUCAUGUGAAAAUCUCAGGAAUACCAUUAAAAAUAAUAGUAGCAGUUCUGUGGAAUAUGGUAAAUAAAAAUUUUCAAACUAUGUUUUGUUGGAAUAAAGCAAAAACCUGUAAAAAUAGUGUUUUGCAAUAAAAUAGCACUGGCUAAUAUAUAGGAGGGGAUUUUAUAAAGAUAGUUAUUUUUUCCGUCAGUUUCAAAUCAAAAUCUAUGGUUUUCACUAGAAGUUCCAACCCGGGAUAUCCCGGGACAAAAAAUCCCGGGAUCUUGAAAAAUUCGGGAUUUCCCGAAUCCCGGGAUAACAUUUUUCACCGUCCCGAAAAUCCCGGGAUUCCCGAGACGCACAUUUCUUACACAUAUUUUUCGCUUUGAUUUGAAUUUGGAGAAUCUCUGAAGCGUAUUCGAAGAGUCAUGAUUUUUUUUUCAAAAAUCGCUUUCCACAAAAAGUCACGAAAAUGUUACAUAAACCAUUUCAACUGUGUUUCAACAAAACUCGUUGAAACUCGACUGAAACAAUGCUGGAGCACUUCAUUUAUGGUUUUGAUAGCAUCAAAGAGAAAUUUUUCGAAAUAGGCCUUUCUAGACUUAUGUUGGACAUGGACAAUGAUUUUGAAGCUGCAAAAAAUCAUCAGGAAGCUCUUCAGCCAAUCAGACUCGCUUCGGAAGCAUUGGGAAGACGAGAUGCUAUACUAUUGUCUACGGAAGGCAGCUUGAGUUUCUUGUAUUCGAAGCUUACAAAAAGUAACUCCAAUGUUGGGAACGACCUCUUCCAUGCAAUUAUGAAAAGAAUCAACAAUCGGCGCCAAAAGGAAAUAAUAACAGCGCUAAAGUUCCUUCAAGGUCUUCCGUCGUCAACGCAAGUGCCAGCAGAACUGGAAAGCUCAUCGAAAACGCAAAUGAUUAAGUUCAUCAAGAAACUGGGAGUUCGAUUGUUGCGACACUGCCAAAGACAGACCGAUAAUGAUGCUGCCGAGUUGAAUGCUGGAUUGUCUUGUAUGCAUUACACCAUCGAGCAUGCGCGAAAAACUAAUCGGCUAUAAAGUAAUAUGGCAACCCGUCUUAGACUGAUUCGGAAAUGAUUGAAUUUUCGAAAGUAAUUGCGAAAGAGUUGUCACUUUUUGAGCUACAUGGUAAGUUGACCCCGAAUCUUAAAAUCGAACUCCGGAUAUAUCCGUUCUAAAAAGCGACCCUCACUGUUCGAUGAAAUCAUGAAAAACAUUUGCUUCUUGAAGUCGUAUUUUCAGAGAACGAAUUCAAAUUGAUAAGACCAGUUGCUUGAUGUGACCCAUUUAUUUAUUUGAUAUGAUGAUUAUAACAUAUUUAUUACUGUUCGCAAAAAUGUGUUUUUAAGCAGAUUGAAAACUAUCCCGGGAUCCCGGGAAUUCCCGGGACAAGCAACAAAUUUUAUCCCGAAUCCCGGGACAACCAAAAUGGUCGGGAAAUGGAACCUCUAGUUUUCACAACUGUAAGGAUUGACUAGUGCGGAUUUUAAUCACUACAGGCUGAAACCGCACUAUGGCCAAAACUUCGGACUGGCCGAAACUGAUGCUUUUUCAGGUAGAUUUUUCUAAAAUUCGUCAAAGGAAACGAUAGAUUUUUCCAUUUUUUCGCAAAUUCCCCUAUGUACGCUGCUUAAACUUUUCAGAAAUCAAUCGGACUUUUAAUCUCAGAAAUUCUACCAAAAAUACUACUCUAGUAUGUGUGUCAGAAAUUUAUUGUAAGUUAACUAAAGGAAUUAUGUAGGAAAUUUGUUGAUAAACCUGGGCGUGUUAGUGGAAUACUUGUAGGUGAAAGCUGUAAUCCAGUUGAAUAAUGUUCCGUUAAAUUCCAACUACCUAUGUAUUUGCAUCCUGAUACGAAUUUCGACCUCAUCAAAGGUCGUUUUCAGUGUCUCGUACUUGAUUCGAGUCAUGCACGAGACAAUGGAGAAGACCUUACAUUUGAGGUCGAAAUGCAGGAUGCGAACGCAUACAGGGAAUUUUUGAAAAUUUUCAUUUUUUUAUGUUUAAACAAGCCGUAACUUUUGGUAGUGUAGUUUAUUACCACAUUUGCACGAGCUCAUUAUUAUCACAGCCGAAUUUCGCACGCGACUUCGCAACGACCCACGUUCAAAACUUUGCUCGUGCCCAUGAUAGGGUUAUUGGUGGCAUAAUUGAUAAAUGAAUUAAGUUUGACUAGAGUGAAAUAUCGCUGGAAAAUGGAAAUUCAGUGAAUUUUCAAGUUAUUACAGAAGUCUAAACCUUAAGAAACCCAAUAUCGACAUUUUUAAAAUUUUCACCAUUAGUUGAUCAACUAAUCGGCUGUUUUGUAACAGCCAUUCAGAGUAUAUUCAUAUACAAUUCAAAAAGUAGGUAGGGUCCACAUUGUAUGAGAAAAUUAAAAUUCAAUCACGUUAACCCUGAACAAAGUUUUUUUAAUACCCUGGAAUUGUGGAAGGAAGUUAUACCCAACCUUGAAAUUAUCGCCUUGAUAUUGAUCGGCCUCCAGUGAUAGUGAUGGUGGUAAGCAGUCAACUGAGAGGUCUGAUAUUUUCCAGUUCUGCCAAUACGUUGAACAUAACGUCGGAAUAUGUGCCAUCUACCAUCGAUAUGUUUCCAAAUUCGAUGAUGGCUUUGGAUAAAAAAAUGUUUGAGUACUUAUUAAAUGAGCAAGGCAAUAUCACCACUAGGUGGGUUUAUCCGUUUUUUUUUUGUAUGAAUUUUAAAUGCUCAAAAUUGUAUUCCAUUCGGUUCAUUCAACCCGAAGACACACAGCUCUAAAGUGGCUAUCAGAUACAAUUGCAACUUACCAGAACCGUUCCAACUUUAAAUAGAAAAACUUAUGGCAAUUUGAACAUAUUUUGAAUAUUGAAAAUUUUAGGAAUUUCUUAGAAAAUUCUCAGAGAAUCCCUCCAUUAUUUUUCCGGAAUCUCUUUUAGCAAUUUUGGGUUAUUUUCAAAAAUUAAUAAAAAAAAAUAAACAAAAAAAAAUAGUCCUGCUGCCGGGACUUGAUCGACAUGACGGUAUCGAACAAGCUGUUUGUGUGUAUUGUCUCGAGUAUUGUAUUUAUGCCGUGAGAGCUUGGUCAUUGGUAAACAUAAUGUAAACUGGUGAGCUUGCUCCAUUAUUAUUAUUAUGGUUAUUAUUAUUACUUUUUUUGAGGUUUUGGCUUUCUCAGCCCGACGUUUCGGCCUAAUUUUUUAGGCCUUUUUCAAGGGUAAAUCUGUCUAUCGUUUUUUGUUGUGUUCUAUAACUAUUGCCACAGUUCUUUUGGAACUUCUUGUAGCAUUUCUACACAUAGAGAUUUAAGGCGAAUAUUUACCAUAAUUUUAGAAGGGACUUAGACACUACCUUUGCACAUUCAUCAACUCACUUGGCACUUUUGCACUCAUUUGUAGAAAAGCUAUAAGAAGCUCCAAAAGAAACUGUGGCACUAGUUAUAGAACACAACAAAAAAAGGGAAGACAGCUUUACCAGUAAAAAGGCCAAAUAAAUUAGGCCGGAAUCCAAAUGAUUAAAUUGGCAUUACCCGACGGCCAAUUUAAUCAUUUGGAUUCUCUAGACUUAGAAAGCCAAAACCUCCAAAACAUAGAAUUUCCAGUUGAAAAUCUUACGCUAAAUUAUUAAUUUUAUUAACGAGAAUUACAGCCUAGCACAGCUUGUUUCAUAUCCCUUUCGGGAAGAACCAGCGCAAUUGUGCUGUUAAGCAAUAACAUUUUUACAUAUUUUUUUCAUCUGUUUAGUCUUUGUUUUAUGUGAUGUAAAUUAUUUAAAAUAUUGAGCCAUUACAUAUACUUGUAUAUGUGCAAAACAACUUUUCUUUAUGUUGCAUAAUAGAUUUACCACAUCAAGAUAAACAAAAAGUGAACAAAAACUGUGAAACACGAAAAAGUUUUAUCUGUCGCAUAUUUUUUAUUUUCGAUUUAUCUAGGUAGUCAAGGCAAGAAAUCGAAAGAUAAAGAGUAGUUCUACCAAACGAGGAACAACAAUUGUUGUUUUGUUGGGAAAUCUAAUAGUUCUGAAGAACCAAAGUUGAGCCAUUUGUAUGGAGAUUUCGCUUGUUUGCGCUCCGUCACGAAAGGGAUGUUAUUAUUAUGUUAAAUAAUUAUUAUGUUUUUUUUUUAAUUUUAAAAUCAAAUAUUCACUUAUAUAACAGGUUCUGAAAGGUUGAUCGCGACAUGUUUAAAUUUAUUUUUCGAUGCAUCACUGUUGUGAUGAGUGAAUAUUAAAAAAAAAAAGCAUAAUGAAUCGCGUAUUGAUUUGCGUGUAUGCCGAAGCUCUGGGGCAUUUUGAAGUUGGAUUUCAGUGCUUCAGAAUGUAGCAAAAGCUGUUCAACUAAUUGAAUAAAUCACUCUUUUCCCGUCGAAAAAAUGUAAGCAAUAAGUAGUCUUUGUCUAGGGAAGAUGCAAGCGAUGCAAGUAAAUGAGUGCGUGGAUUUUCUGCAUACGAAAUCACAGCAAAUCACAGAAUUUAUAAUCACUGAGAAAGUUUUCUUCGUUGCACUUUAAUGGCGUAUUCCCAACAAACAUUUUCACUGUAUUAGAGUGGAACAAACUACUCUUAAGCAAACUUAAGCUUAAGAAACUGCUAUUCAGCCAGUUCUGUUUCUUGGGUUAUGAUCUGGUGGGAAACAAUAUUAAUUAAACUAUUUGGACCGUUAUUCCAAAGCUACAUUCAUCUCAAUUUAAAAGCUUUCUGCCCAAAAGUAAUUUGAACACAUGAUUUGAUUUGCAAUGCGACGGAUUUUACCAUCUUUUCGAAUAAACACCUACAAUCAAAUCAUAGUUUUUGACUACCCUAUGCACCGAAGUGUCUUGUAGAAAGUGUGCCGAGAAUUGAAUUUCGAUUGUGGACUAGAUGGAAACAGAAUUCAAUCUUGUUAUUUCAAGGAGCUAUAGUUCUUUUACAACAUUUAGUACAAGAUAUGGACGCUAAUUUAUAAAAAAGUAAUUAAUUCCAAAUUGACCAUGAUGAGACAUCAGACAAGGUGCACGAAUAAAUUCGAUCAUUAUCAGUCGGUGCUUAGUUAGACGGGAAUAACCCUAAUCAAAAUGUAUUUCUUUAGAGGACAUUUUCGUCAGUUGAUGUCAUCUGAAGUGACAAAACACAAAAGGAAACUUUAACUGCCGUUACUUGCAACUUUUGGUUAAUACUCGAGUUAAAGUUUUCAACAUCAAUGCUUGAAAUACUUGCUUGGACAUUGCAAUUAUUUUGCGUUUUCAGCUAUUUUCAAAACAAUAUUAUUUAUUGUUAUCUUUAUUAGACUUCACCUUCAACAAGUUCAUUACCAAACGUAUCUACCAUUUUACUACCGAGCAUUUGUUGGCAAGGUUAAAAUUCCUUUAAAGCAUCCAUGAAAUGUGCGUCACCGUUGUUGUUCCGAUGACGAGCGCAAAGAGCCCGUAGAAAUCAAACAAAGCCGGCCCAAAUUCGGGCGAUUAUGCUCUCGGAACUGAACGGGAUCUGAAAUUUACGGAACAGCAAUGAAUAAUUUAUUACUCAAACCUUCGGCUGUUGUUGUUCUUGUUGUUGCUGCUGCUGUUGUUGGUUACCCGUUUCAUGAUUAUUGCUGGGCUCAAGGGGCAAUUGUGCGUUCACAUGUCAAGCGGCUUUCGGGGGUCUUAUCGUUCGUUGAACGGAGAUUGUUUGAAGGAUGUUGCUGAAAUGACGGGACGGGAGCUUGACUUUAAUCGGUGUUGUAAAGGUGCGGUCGUGAAACUUUAUUUGACCUGUUUUCUUGAGUUUGAUUACCCAGCUCGACAGUGGUCCGAAUUUUCGGGCGAAAUAAAGUUAAUGAUUACAGUGAUUACGCUGCGGUUUUAAAGUUUUCAUCGUUUUUCAACGGGCUUGAAAUCUGCGGAGCACGAUGACAUCAUAAUAAAGCGCUAUUUCUUCAAUCCUCAUUGAAAUUCCCACUUUACUUCUUUACCUUAGCAUAAAGCAAUCAUUCAUAUUCCCAUCAACAUCAUCAUCUAACGUUCAUCCAUCUUCCGCGGUAUUCAUCUGAUCAUCUUGAACUGUGCUUUGGUUUGGCCGCUCAUUCAUCCAAACGAUACUCACUCCACCCACACCCAACACAAACCGUCUAACGCACCUCCCCUCGCCCCCCAUAACUAAAACUAACGACCUUUCCUA